GGACUACCGGGGUAUCUAAUCCUGUUUGCUCCCCUUGCUCUCGCGCCUCAGCGUCAGGUAUUAACUAGAAAAUCGCUUUCGCCACAGGUGUUCUUCCACAUAUCUACGCAUUUCACCGCUACACGUGGAAUUCCAUUUUCUCCGUCAACCCUCAAGUCUAUCAGUUUCAAAUGCAGCACCAAAGUUGAGCUUUGGUAUUUCACAUCUGACUUGAUAGUCCGCCUACGCGCCCUUUACGCCCAAUAAUUCCGAUUAAUGCUUGCACCCUCCGUAUUACCGCGGCUGCUGGCAC
Molecule: ribosomal RNA, 292 nt
Filed under: uncultured bacterium
Lineage: Bacteria
Description: partial 16S ribosomal RNA
Source: RNAcentral